RNAcentral lists this ribosomal RNA (305 nucleotides) under uncultured bacterium. RNAcentral describes it as "partial 16S ribosomal RNA". It matches the Rfam family "Bacterial small subunit ribosomal RNA", at positions 508 to 807 of the family's 1533-position model. The record is from RNAcentral.
ACAGCAGUCGCCGCGGUAAUACGUAGGGUGCAAGCGUUAAUCGGAAUUACUGGGCGUAAAGCGUGCGCAGGCGGUUUUGUAAGUCUGUCGUGAAAUCCCCGGGCUCAACCUGGGAAUGGCGAUGGAGACUGCAAGGCUAGAAUCUGGCAGAGGGGGGUAGAAUUCCACGUGUAGCAGUGAAAUGCGUAGAUAUGUGGAGGAACACCGAUGGCGAAGGCAGCCCCCUGGGCUAAGAUUGACGCUCAUGCACGAAAGCGUGGGGAGCAAACAGGAUUAGAUACCCCUGUAGUCCCUGUCUCUUAUAC